Long non-coding RNA from Gadus morhua (Atlantic cod), 3648 nucleotides. RefSeq lists it as uncharacterized. NCBI's taxonomy places the organism in Eukaryota, Metazoa, Chordata, Actinopteri, Gadiformes, Gadidae. The record is from RefSeq and is a predicted model, not a curated record. The transcript has 2 exons.
AUCAGCGUGGAGCCCCGCAGACAGCGAUUCUGCUGAAGGCACAGGAACCCGGCAGGAGGAGUGGAAGGAGUACAUCCAAAGCGAUGGGGAGCGGGGUUUACAUGCGUCUUUAUACGAAACGUUAUAAGUUGUUUUGUAAAGGUCUCUGAGCGAUAAAAAGGGACAAACGUUAAAAAAAAAUCAAUAUUGUCUAGCUCUAUAUUAACCCAGCGUGCAAAGAAACGUGGCAAAUACACUUUAUUGCUUUAGUUUAAUAGUUUCCUCAUCUUGUCGAGAAUAUGGGAGGCACGAUGGAUGCUGUACCAGACGGAGCUGGCAUGCUUGUGAUAACGGGCCACGUCGUGGCAUACAAUGUCUUUCCACAAUGUCUUGCUUUUUAAAAAAUGUAUGAUGACUAUAUGCUCUGUAAGGUGACCUUGGGUGUCUUGAAAGGCGCCUCUAAAUUAAAUGAAGACAUUGUGUAGUGAAACUGGAAGAAAGAACUUGUUAAAGUACUUAAAGCGGACUCUUAUCGGCCUGAACUGGUCGCUGGUGAGGACCCCCAGAAGGGCAAAAACAAUCUGCUCGCCCAUCGGUAAUUUUCCAUCAACUUGGUCAAAGGCGUGGCCUACAGAGGGGGCCAAACACCAUUUAAAGUAGGCUACGGUACUUUUGCCCGCCCGAAAGUGAAAGUAAACCGUUCGCUUGUUGAUGAAUUAGGAUUAGGAAGUUAUAUGAUAUUCUUUUUAGUUUAAAAUCGGAAUUCUGUGUAUAAAGUUCUGAUUCUGAGAAUGAAGUGAGGGUUCUGAGAAAAAAGUCUGAAUUCUGAGAUUUAAGUCAGAAUUCGGAAUUUAAACUCAGAAUGUCACAUCAAAUAUGACCAUAAUCCUCUCGAACAAGCAACAACUCGCUUACAUCCGAUUUCCUCAGUCAGCUCGUGGUUCCUGUCCUGUAUGUCGCCUGCACUCUAGGAUUGUCAUCUUACUCUGCCAAAAAUAAACAACAGGCCUGUCACCAUCCCCCGUAACACCUCCCACCGGCUCCAGCCGCCCCCCCCCGACACAGCAGGGGCCUGGACAUCUCACAGCUGCCCACGACAGUGGCCCUGAAUUCCCCUACCACAAUGACGACCCCCAUCAACGUGGAGAGGGACGUUAACAGACUCUUCAAGAGACAGAACCCCCACAGGGCAGCCAGUUCAGACUCGUCUCUCCAACCGCCCGAAGCACUUUGCCCAUUAGCUGUCGCAGACGUCUUCAUCAUCUCACUGGAGACAUGCAAGGAACCAGCAUACUGCAAAAAACACCAUCCCCCAUAAUGCCAAGCACCACAGGAUAUAACGUCUACAGGCACGUCUCCCUGACCUGUGGUAAUUAGCCAUAUGAGCACCUUGUGUUGUCCCAACUCAUAAUCUUCCGGAUGCUCUCCUGGACCCCCUGCAGUUUGACUACAUAGCCAACAUGUAGACCGGCAGUAAGCAUGGCCCUACACUGAAUCCUCCUGCACCUGGUCUCCGCAGGAACCUACACCUGGGGCCUUUUUGUGGAUUCUAGCUUCACCACCAUCAAUCCGGCUCUGCUAUGGGAUAAGCUCUGAGCGUGCCCGACUCCACCUGCAGAUGGACCAUUGACUUCCUGUAUGACCGGAAGCCUCACGUGAAGCUGGGAAACACGUCUCUGACUCCUGGACCAUCAGCGCAGAUUCACCUCAAGGCUUUACUCUUUCCCUUCUGCUCUUCUCACUGUGUACCAACAGCUGCACCUCCAGUCACCAGUCUGUCAACCUCCUGAAGGUCGUGGCAACACCGCCCUCAUUGGCUCAUCUCUGCUGGAGAUGAGUUUGCCUGCAUUGGGAGAUUUAGCAUCCGGUUACCUGGUGUGGACUGAACAACCUGGAGCUCAACACCCUGAAGACAGUGUUGAUGGUUGUGGACUUCAGGAAGAAUCCAGCCCCGCUCGCCCCAAUCCCCCUUUGUGUCUCCCAAGUCAUCCCCUUCGAGUCCCUCUGUUUCCUCUGUCAGCUGAACCUCAGCUCUCUCACCAAAAAUAAAUAAAAACAGGAUGUACCUCCUAGUGCAUCUGAGGAUGUUCAACCUGCCUUAGACGAUGACGGUACACUUCUGCACCUCCUCCAUCACCAUCUGGUAAGCUGCUGCCACUGCCAAUGACAAGGGGUUAGUGUCAUUCGACCGGCAGAGAAGGUGAUUGGUUGCAAUCUGCCAGCUCUCCAGGACCCUGAGGCGAGCAGGAAAGAAUGUGGCUGAUCCCUCCCACCCCAGACACAAACAGUUUAAAACACUUCCCCCGGGCAGGGGGCUCCAUCUGGACCAAAAUCGAAUGCCACCAGUAACCUUUCUUCCUGUCUACUGUCGGCCUCCUCAUCAAGGCCCGGAACCCCCAUAGACUCCCACCCCAGCUCCAUAGACCCUACACAUUACAUCAACGUAAAGUUUCCACACCUAAUCGUCACAUUAACGCAUAGAUCACUGGACCAUAGUCCUUGGGCAUAACACAAACUGUGUACUUUAAUCUGUGAACCGCUGCACAUUCCAUGGUCCAUACUUUGCAUAUUCUUGCACAAACUGCUAAUUGUUAUUAACAUUUAGAUUUAGCAUACGCUUUUAUCAAAAGCGACGAACAAUAAGUAAAUUUUUUCAGAAGUUAGAGAAACAACAAUUUAACGCUGUCGGUACAGUAGGGAAGUUCAUAGAUUAAGUGCCAAGCAUUUACAAUUGCUAGGUUGACCCAUUCCCUUUUUUCCCAUAAAGAUAGCUCGGGAAAUAUGCUACUCAAUGCUAAUUUAAAGUAACAGGACAUAACGCAUAAAAAAGUGCAUACGUUAAGUGACAGGACGUACAAAUGUACAAUAAGUGCGAAAGAGGUUUUUUUUUUAGGAUUAAGGCAGGAGGAAAGGCGGUUGGGGAUAAAGAGGGAAGCUAUGCAGCGUCCAGGUGAACUCUGAACAGGUGAGUUUUAAGUCUCUUGUGAAAGCUGGUGAGCAACUGCACUCCUGACAUCGGCAGGGGGCUCGUUGAACUAUUGCGUUGCCAGAACAGAGAAUAAGUUUGACUUUGUUGUGCAACCUUUGCUUGCUCUUAGCGAUGGCAGUGCAAGACGUCCAGCUGAGGUAAUUGAGCGGAGCGCACAAGUGGUGUGUGGUCUGACUUAGACUUGGAGGUAGGCAGGGGCAUUUCCAGUUCACCCUUGUAGGCCAGUAACAUUGUCAUGAAUCUUGAUGCAUGCUACUACAGGGAGCCCGUGGAGGUUACGGAAGACAGGGGUUAAUGAGGAAAUCUUGGUAAGUUGAACACGAGGCGUGCUGCUGCGUUCUGGAUACCCUGUAAAGGUUUGAUGGCGGAGGAAGGGAGUCCAGCCGGGAGCGAGUUGCAGUAGUCGAGGCCUCAGAUGAUGAGCGCUUGGACCAAGGGCUGAGCUGCUUCCCUUUUGAGGGAGGGCCGUAUCCUGCAGAUGUUGUAGAGAGCAAAUCCGUUAUCAAUUUUAUACCGAUUUUUCUUGACCAACAGAUCUUUCUUUAUAUUUUAUUUCUUUCUUCCAUUCUUUAUAUUAUACGUUUAGGUCUCUUUACUAUUAAUAAUUACUUAUUAUUGUGCGUAAAGCACGGGACAAAUUCCUAAUGCGAUGUUGAAAAUAAAGUCAAAUCUCAUUCUGA